CCUACGGGUGGCAGCAGUGAGGAAUAUUGGUCAAUGGCCGAGAGGCUGAACCAGCCAAGUCGCGUGAGGGAUGACGGCCCUACGGGUUGUAAACUUCUUUUGUCGGGGAGUAAAGAGAGUCACGUGUGGCUUUUUGCGUGUACCUUAAGAAUAAGCAUCGGCUAACUCCGUGCCAGCAGCCGCGGUAAUAGGGGGGAUGGGAGCGUUAUCCGGUUUGAUGGGGGUUAAAGGGUACGAAGGGGGGGGUGUAGGUCAGUGGUAAAGUUGCGGGGCUAAACCCCGUACUGCCAGUGAUACUGCAUGCCUUGAGUGCGCGAGAGGUAUGCGGAAUGCGUGGUGUAGCGGUGAAAUGCGUAGAUAUCACGAAGAACUCCGAUGGCGAAGGCAGCUUACCGGCGUGCAACUGACGCUGAUGCACGAAAGCGUGGGUAUCAAACAGGAUUAGAUACCCCAGUAGUC
RNAcentral lists this ribosomal RNA (459 nucleotides) under uncultured bacterium. RNAcentral's name for it is "partial 16S ribosomal RNA". It matches the Rfam family "Bacterial small subunit ribosomal RNA", at positions 338 to 795 of the family's 1533-position model. The record is from RNAcentral.